GACGAACGCUGGCGGCGUGCUUAACACAUGCAAGUCGAACGGAAAGGCCCUGCUUUUGUGGGGUGCUCGAGUGGCGAACGGGUGAGUAACACGUGAGUAACCUGCCCUUGACUUUGGGAUAACUUCAGGAAACUGGGGCUAAUACCGGAUAGGAGCUCCUGCUGCAUGGUGGGGGUUGGAAAGUUUCGGCGGUUGAGGAUGGACUCGCGGCUUAUCAGCUUGUUGGUGGGGUAGUGGCUUACCAAGGCUUUGACGGGUAGCCGGCCUGAGAGGGUGACCGGCCACAUUGGGACUGAGAGACGGCCCAGACUCCUACGGGAGGCAGCAGUGGGGAAUAUUGCACAAUGGGCGGAAGCCUGAUGCAGCAACGCCGCGUGCGGGAUGACGGCCUUCGGGUUGUAAACCGCUUUCGCCUGUGACGAAGCGUGAGUGACGGUAAUGGGUAAAGAAGCACCGGCUAACUACGUG
RNAcentral lists this ribosomal RNA (468 nucleotides) under uncultured bacterium. RNAcentral describes it as "partial 16S ribosomal RNA". It matches the Rfam family "Bacterial small subunit ribosomal RNA", at positions 28 to 507 of the family's 1533-position model. The record is from RNAcentral.